CGGAUUGCAGGCUGCAACCCGCCUGCAUGAAGUCGGAAUCGCUAGUAAUCGCGGGUCAGCAUACCGCGGUGAAUACGUUCCCGGGCCUUGUACACACCGCCCGUCACACCACGAAAGUUGGUAACACCCGAAGCCGGUGGCCUAACCCUUAGGGGAGGGAGCUGUCGAAGGUGGGACUGAUGAUUGGGGUGAAGUCGUAACAAGGUACC
Molecule: ribosomal RNA, 209 nt
Filed under: uncultured bacterium
Lineage: Bacteria
Description: partial 16S ribosomal RNA
Rfam family: Bacterial small subunit ribosomal RNA
Source: RNAcentral